RNAcentral lists this ribosomal RNA (497 nucleotides) under uncultured bacterium. RNAcentral describes it as "partial 16S ribosomal RNA". It matches the Rfam family "Bacterial small subunit ribosomal RNA", at positions 28 to 507 of the family's 1533-position model. The record is from RNAcentral.
GAUGAACGCUGGCGGCGUGCCUAAUACAUGCAAGUCGAGCGAACGGACGAGAAGCUUGCUUCUCUGAUGUUAGCGGCGGACGGGUGAGUAACACGUGGAUAACCUACCUAUAAGACUGGGAUAACUUCGGGAAACCGGAGCUAAUACCGGAUAAUAUUUUGAACCGCAUGGUUCAAAAGUGAAAGACGGUCUUGCUGUCACUUAUAGAUGGAUCCGCGCUGCAUUAGCUAGUUGGUAAGGUAACGGCUUACCAAGGCAACAAUGCAUAGCCGACCUGAGAGGGUGAUCGGCCACACUGGAACUGAGACACGGUCCAGACUCCUACGGGAGGCAGCAGUGGGGAAUCUUCCGCAAUGGGCGAAAGCCUGACGGAGCAACGCCGCGUGAGUGAUGAAGGUCUUCGGAUCGUAAAACUCUGUUAUUAGGGAAGAACAUAUGUGUAAGUAACUGUGCACAUCUUGACGGUACCUAAUCAGAAAGCCACGGCUAACUACGUG